AAUCUUAUCGUAGUCCACUCGAAGUCGCCUCCCAUUUCGCGGGUCACCGGCUCGCCGCUGCGUCAAGCGAGCGCUUCCCCCCAGAUCUCGACUUCUCGAGCCUGUCCUCCGCCCCCCACAGGCUCUGCUGGAUCCAGAACCUUCUAGAACCCCUGCACUGCGCGGUGCGCGCCAUCCUCCUCCUUCCUUCCAUCCAGAUCUCGACACCCCUCGCCGGCCCAGACCUCCGGUCCUGUCGUGGCCCCGGGGUUCGGGCGGCUGCCAAAGAAUCAGUGGCCAUGGGAUCUGCUAUCCUCAACAGCAUUGCCCCCGAGGAGCCUAAAGUGGUCGUGCCAGAGUACGGUGAGACGGCUGAUAUCCAGGACAAGGAAGUUAGUAUGGAACAGCUCUGCUCCAUAAGCACCUAUGAUCAGUGGACGCCACUCUCUGUUUCUGGCCAGCUUCCCAAACCACGCUAUAAGCAUGGAGCUGUGGUGAUUCAGCAGAAGAUGUAUGUCUUUGGUGGAAACCACAAUGGCCGUUACCUUGGCGACAUUCAGGUUUUGGACUUCAAAACUUUGUCAUGGUCAAAGCUGGAAGCUAAAUCACAAGCAGAACCAUCAGAAUCAGCUGGAGCAGUUCCGUUUUCUGCAUGUGCUGGCCAUUCAGUGAUUCAAUGGGGAAAUAAGAUCCUAUGUCUUGCAGGACAUACCAGAGAACCUGCAGAAAGUCUCAGUGUUAAGGAGUUUGAUCCACAAACCUGCACUUGGUCUACCUUGCGUACUUAUGGAAGGUCACCUAGUUCACGUGGUGGUCAGUCAGUGACCCUUGUUGGAGACACUCUAGUGGUCUUUGGCGGUGAAGGUCAUGGGAGAUCUCUUCUGAAUGAUCUGCACAUUCUUGAUCUUGAGACCAUGACUUGGGAUGAAUUUGAGACCACAGGCACUCCCCCUUCCCCAAGGUCAGAGCAUGCUGCUGCUUGCUUUGCAGAGCGGUAUCUUCUGAUAUUUGGCGGGGGUUCUCAUUCUACAUGUUUCAGUGACCUACACCUCCUUGACACUCAGACAAUGGAAUGGUCAAGACCAAAGCAACAAGGUGUUACUCCAGAAUCAAGAGCAGGACAUGCAGGUGUAACUAUUGGAGAAUAUUGGUUUAUUACUGGUGGUGGAAAUAGUAGGAAAGGUGUCUCAGAUACUCUUGUACUCAACCUGUCUACGUAUGAAUGGUCAGUUCUCACUAAUCUUGAGGCCCGUGCACCCCCUGUAAGUGAGGGCUCAAGUUUAGUAAUGCACACAAUUAAUGGAGAAAAUUUUCUGGUGUCAUUUGGAGGAUAUAGUGGCCGUUAUAGUAAUCAGGCUUAUGCUCUCAAGGCAAGUCUCAAACCAAGUGUCCCAUCUCAACAAAUAAAUGAAUCAGAUACAAAUGGCUUUUCUCCCUUAUCUGUGGCAGAAAAUUCUAGCAGGAAAGUCAUAUUUGAAAUUGAGGAACUUAAAGAUGAAAAGCCUGGCAAUAGGGCAGAUAACAGCAAAACCUUGGGACAAGUAGUUAUGGUUGAACAAAACGAAAUAGAAAACAGACUUAAUCAAGAGCACUUGCAGAGUCUCCGCCUGAAGCAGGAACUAACUGGUCUUGAGAACAGAAAUGCAGAACUUACUGAGGAACUCCACUUAGUUCAAGAUCAACUUUCUAUCGAACAAACCAGGGCUUCCAAAUUUGAGGGGAGAGCGAGCAGCAGAUUUAGCCUUAGCAGGCCAAACAAGCUCAUCGACUUGUAAUUUUUUCGGCUUUUUAGGGGCUGAAAGGCAUUCGACCUCAUGCGCGGGUGAUGGCAUGCUGCGACCAUAGUGCGCUGCAAGUGGGGUGGAGCAUGAAGAUUGUGUCUGACGCGUAGUGCCCUGGUCUGCGUAUGCACACCCGGACGGUCUGAUCUUGGUGAUCGAACAGCCCGCAGAGGGACCGGACGGUCUGGUAUUAUAUCCGGACCGUCCAGUUGUGCUGGGCUUUGCCUGCGACCCUUGUGGCGGACUCGGUGUGACUCCGAACUGUCCGGCGUAUGGUGUUGGACGGUUCGUUGAAGGGCCGGACGAUCUGUGAUCGUGCGCGGACUGUCCGAUCGUGCCCAAAGCCGAUCUACUGUGCAGUGAGGAUGUUGACAACAUUUGCCCCGGAUAUGAGUUCAUCGGCAUGCCGAAAUAUGGCUGGGACCGAGAAGCCCCAUUUGUCGCUGAUGUAUUUGACACAGUUAUUUUAGUGCAGUGGGGAGCUGCCGCAGCAAGGCUAAUAGGGAAUCGUGCUUUAUUUCCCUCUCUUUGACGACCUUCUGGUGGCGAUCUAUCCUGAAUUUUGAGAGAAUGAAAUUUCAGAUAUUCAACAACGACUACAGAAGAUGGAUACCCUAGAAAAGGAGAUUGAAUCACUUCGCUAUGAACUGGACAGCACUGUAUCCGAAGAAGAAUCUUCAAGUGGCAACGAGUUGCACCGCAGUCGGGGCUUUUGGAGGUGGAAUGGGUGAACUCCUCGAGACUCAAGGAGUGAGUAUUGAAGAGAAUACUCUUCCAAAUAGUUGUCAUUAUUUUAAUUUUUAUGUCUUUCACAAAAAUAUAUGAAUUCGUGGAUGGUACUAGUUCGGAAGCAUAUAGAGGAUCUAAGCAAACUGCAGCAACAUCAACUGUGAAAAGCAUCUUACAGAAAGUAAAACGAGUAUCAUGUGGCCCAGAAUUUCCUAUGUUAGAAUAGUUUCUUAUCUGAUAAUGACACCGACAAUGAUCACCAUAACGAAUUAUUUUUUUUCAUACA
RNA transcript from Zea mays, 2775 nucleotides. RefSeq lists it as uncharacterized. The record is from RefSeq and is marked validated. NCBI's taxonomy places the organism in Eukaryota, Viridiplantae, Streptophyta, Magnoliopsida, Poales, Poaceae. The transcript has 16 exons.